Non-coding RNA from Vicugna pacos (alpaca), 850 nucleotides. Lineage: Eukaryota; Metazoa; Chordata; Mammalia; Artiodactyla; Camelidae. The record is from RefSeq and is a predicted model, not a curated record.
GGGCUUUGCCCUGUUCCACUGUCUAGGUACAAGGAAGUUGGGGGAGUCCGUCCCCUCUCCUGAAAGGCUGAGAGCCGAUUCCUCUUCUUUCCCUGGAGUGUCCUCCGCUUCUGAAUUUAAGGAGUCCUCUGCGCUAUGAUCGUCUCCGGUUUUCUCAAGAAUGUGCUGGGCUUCUCUUUCCCCUGAGAUAGCUUCUGAAUGGUUAUGGGGUUGAGGCAAAGUUAACAUGUUACCCCGAUACCAUCCUGGAGUUCAGUAAAUGCUUGUUGAAUGUAUAAAGCGAGACACGAGCGUGCAACAGAGAAAACUCUGCAUUAAACAUCAGAAAAUCUUGCUUUCAAAGUUGUGCAAGGCCCUUGUUCUAUGGACUCUUGGUCGGCGAAGAGCGGAUCCUAAUACUCGCCCUGCCUACCCAAUAAGGCUGCUGCAAGAGUCAAACGAGCGCCUUUACGUGAAAAUGCUCUUUAAACUGCACGGUUUGGCAUCAGUUUCCCUGACAAUCCUAUAGCAUCUCUUAUCCUGGUCACAGAAUGACCUGCUCUCAUCCUCUGCCCCGUACAGAAUAAUCCCCACCCAGAGACAGAAGACGCCCCGAGGCGGACCACGUCCACUUCUCCUCCUGGAAUCAUGUUACUUCUCUGCAAAUUCUUAUAUAUUUCCUCCUCUGGCCUAUUAGAUGUUUCUCAAACUACCCUAUUUAUUGUCACAUAAAAUAAUAAGAAAGAGAAAAUAUUAACCAUGAAAUAUUUUAAUUGCUAAAAAAAUACCCCUGCAUAUUCAAGAUUACAGCUUGUUCACUGUAUUUCACAUUUAGAUAAUAAAGUCUUUUUUCGCCUUCUGACUAAAUAUA